CGCCUAUCGAAAGGGAAUCCGGUUAAUAUUCCGGAACCAGGUUAAGGACGUGUAUUAUGGCAACAUAAAUGAACUCAGAAACACCGGCGGAGAUCCUGGGAAGAGUUCUCUUUUCUUUUUAACAAACGGGAGUCGCGCUUCGGUGCGGCGAACAAAAGAUGACCCUGGAAUCAAUUUAGUUGGAGAAGGGGUUAGAAGUUUGGUAAAGCACUCCAGUUUCAGGAGUGUCCGGUGCAUCUCCGACGGUCCAUGAAAAUCUGAGGGAAAGAAUCAGUUUCUUAUCUGGUCGUACUCAUAACCGCAUCAGGUCUCCAAGGUUAGAAGCCUCUAGUCGAUAGAAAAAUGUAGGUAAGGGAAGUCGGCAAAAUAGAUCCGUAA
This 378-nucleotide ribosomal RNA is filed under the name Symbiodinium sp. clade D. RNAcentral's name for it is "partial Eukaryotic large subunit ribosomal RNA". It matches the Rfam family "Eukaryotic large subunit ribosomal RNA", at positions 1588 to 1933 of the family's 3401-position model. The record is from RNAcentral. Lineage: Eukaryota; Dinophyceae; Suessiales; Symbiodiniaceae.